RNAcentral lists this ribosomal RNA (253 nucleotides) under uncultured bacterium. Its description in RNAcentral is "partial 16S ribosomal RNA". It matches the Rfam family "Bacterial small subunit ribosomal RNA", at positions 524 to 776 of the family's 1533-position model. The record is from RNAcentral.
UCCGGGGGAUGCAAUCGUUAUCCGGAAUCACUGGGCGUAAAGCGUCUGUAGGCGGUGAUGCAAGUCACUGGUGCAAAACUCUGGCUCAACCGCAGGAAUGCCAGUGAAACUGCAUGUCUAGAGUGUGGGAGAGGUAGAAGGAAUUCCCUGUGUAGCGGUGAAAUGCGUAGAUACAGGGAAGAACACCGGAGGCGAAAGCGUUCUACUGGACCACAACUGACGCUGAGGGACGAAAGCUAGGGGAGAGAAUGGG